This 252-nucleotide ribosomal RNA is filed under the name uncultured bacterium. RNAcentral's name for it is "partial 16S ribosomal RNA". It matches the Rfam family "Bacterial small subunit ribosomal RNA", at positions 524 to 776 of the family's 1533-position model. The record is from RNAcentral.
UACGUAGGGGGCAAGCGUUGUCCGGAAUUAUUGGGCGUAAAGCGCGCGCAGGCGGUCGAUUAAGUCUGGUGUAUAAACCAAGGGCUCAACCUUUGGACGCAAUGGAAACUGGUCGACUGGAGUGUAGGAGAGGAAAGUGGAAUUCCACGUGUAGCGGUGAAAUGCGUAGAGAUGUGGAGGAACACCAGUGGCGAAGGCGACUUUCUGGCCUAUAACUGACGCUGAGGCGCGAAAGCGUGGGGAGCAAACAGG